GCUUCCAUAAUACAUUUGGAUGCUGUCAGCUAAGUUCACUUCUGAACUAAGGGGUUCCUCCAAAUGUUGGCUGAAAUUCAUCCCAAGGCUGGUCUGCAAAGUCUGCAAUUCAUAAUGGAGCUACUGUACUGGCUAUUGGAAGGAGGAGAUUCUGAAGAUAAGGAGAUUCAGCCGUUGGUCUUUGAAAUUUCCUGUGAUGUGUUUCAAUCUAGAUGCAAAGAACAUGGAAAAAUCAAAGUGCUCGAGUGGUUUAAAUAUGUUUUGGGUAUUCCUGUUUAUAGACUAUAAUACUUUUCCAAUUAAAAUCCUCAGUUGUCACGCAGAAGAAGGUUAAGCUGUAUUUGAUUGCCAGUUUUACUGAAAAUGCUUAGUAUUUUACAGUAUCACCAAAUAUAUUUUGUUUAGCCAAGGUAUA
Molecule: long non-coding RNA, 415 nt
Filed under: Homo sapiens (human)
Lineage: Eukaryota; Metazoa; Chordata; Mammalia; Primates; Hominidae
Description: non-protein coding lnc-IRX3-80:53
Source: RNAcentral